GUCUACACAUUUAAUGUGUAGUCUGUGUGAGUAACGAUGUUAUAUUGAGAAUGUGUGUGGUAUAGCAGUCUAACUAGAAAACGUACAACCCAUCCUAAGACGAGGAUGUGCCUGUCAACAAAUGUCCUUCUGGUGCCACUCAUUAUCAACAUUCUCAUUACUUAUGCUAAUUCUAUUAAUUGCGAUCAGCCCAAUGAAACAGUGAUUGUAAACCCAAAUUUCCCGUGUCCAGAAAACUUUGAGUGUGGUCAGCUGAUGAACGCUAAGCCUGGAUGUGUGAAGCCGCCUAUCCUUGUGCAACAGUGUCACUGUGGGAAGGGGGUACCUUGUGGCACCAAGAACACCCAUAGAUUUAGGACCACCAGUUCUUCCUACCGAGCGUACUGUAGGCCCAUCUGUGGCCUCCCUAGGUGUAGACCUCAAGACACAGCCGUGCUUCUGAUUAAAGACGUUCACAGUUUGGGCAGGGUGAAUAACUUCAGGAAG
Physella acuta is the source of this 486-nucleotide long non-coding RNA. RefSeq lists it as uncharacterized. NCBI's taxonomy places the organism in Eukaryota, Metazoa, Mollusca, Gastropoda, Physidae. The record is from RefSeq and is a predicted model, not a curated record.